RNAcentral lists this transfer RNA (77 nucleotides) under Thermoanaerobacter sp. YS13. RNAcentral describes it as "tRNA-Glu". It matches the Rfam family "tRNA". From Rfam's summary of the family: Transfer RNA (tRNA) molecules are approximately 80 nucleotides in length. Their secondary structure includes four short double-helical elements and three loops (D, anti-codon, and T loops). Further hydrogen bonds mediate the characteristic L-shaped molecular structure. tRNAs have two regions of fundamental functional importance: the anti-codon, which is responsible for specific mRNA codon recognition, and the 3' end, to which the tRNAs corresponding amino acid is attached (by aminoacyl-tRNA synthetases). tRNAs cope with the degeneracy of the genetic code in two manners: having more than one tRNA (with a specific anti-codon) for a particular amino acid; and 'wobble' base-pairing, i.e. permitting non-standard base-pairing at the 3rd anti-codon position. Lineage: Bacteria; Bacillati; Bacillota; Clostridia; Thermoanaerobacterales; Thermoanaerobacteraceae. The record is from RNAcentral.
GGCGGACUCGUUCAAAAGGAUAAGGAUAACCGGUUUUCAGCCGGUAGAUACAGGUUCAAGUCCUGUGUCCGCUGCCA